This is an RNA transcript of Asparagus officinalis (garden asparagus), 964 nucleotides long. It is a transcript of the gene named ras-related protein RABF1, with no coding region annotated. Lineage: Eukaryota; Viridiplantae; Streptophyta; Magnoliopsida; Asparagales; Asparagaceae. The transcript is spliced from 9 exons. The record is from RefSeq and is a predicted model, not a curated record.
AUCAUUUUCCCCCUUGUCUCCUCUCUCUCUCUCUCAUCUCGUUCCUCUCCCGCCAUUGAUCCCCAAGCAUUGACCUCCCGCCAUUUAUAUCUCUAAUUCACUGCUAAUUUUUCCCGCGGAAUCGGGAGGCCUCCUCCUCCUUCCUCGAUGGGUUGCUCCUCCUCUCUCCCAGACAGGAAAGCUGGACGUUUGGACAGUCUGAACAGAGAGAAUUCUGCAGCUACUGACUCCAAAAAUUUGCGUGUCAAGCUGGUAUUGCUGGGAGAUUCAGGUGUUGGUAAGAGCUGCAUUGUUCUUCGCUUUGUUCGGGGUCAGUUUGAUCCUACUUCCAAGGUAACAGUCGGUGCUUCAUUCCUAUCACAGACAUUAGCCUUGCAAGACUCUACGACCGUUAAGUUUGAAAUAUGGGAUACUGCUGGCCAAGAGAGAUAUGCUGCAUUGGCACCUCUUUACUAUCGUGGGGCAGCUGUCGCAGUGGUUGUGUAUGACAUAACGAGUCCAGAAUCAUUUAGCAAAGCACAGUACUGGGUUAAGGAACUUCAAAAGCAUGGAAGCCCUGAUAUUGUCAUGGCAUUGGUUGGAAACAAGGCUGAUUUGCAUGAAAAUCGCAGUGUAUCUUCUGAGGAUGCACUAGAAUAUGCAGAGAAGAAUGGGAUGUUCUUUAUUGAGACAUCAGCAAAAACAGCAGAUAACAUCAACCAGCUAUUUGAGGAAUAAACAGGACACAUAAUUAUUGAACAUCUUUGAUGAUGGUGAAUCCACGAAGGAAAAGAGGAGAUUGCAAAGAGGUUACCUGAAAAGCUUUCAACGUCCACAUCCUGAGGAUCAGUUUUGAGUAAGUUAUCUGCAUCAUCUUAUACAUAGUGAUGAGUCGUUUCAUGUAUUGAAAUAGUGAGUUUCCUGGUGAGCUUGUAAUAUGUACUAUUUUAGAAGUGAAAUUUCAUUGGUAUAUUGUUUGUUCAUA